This 464-nucleotide ribosomal RNA is filed under the name Xylaria sp. MU-34. RNAcentral describes it as "eukaryotic LSU rRNA". It matches the Rfam family "Eukaryotic large subunit ribosomal RNA", at positions 96 to 567 of the family's 3401-position model. The record is from RNAcentral. Lineage: Eukaryota; Fungi; Ascomycota; Sordariomycetes; Xylariales; Xylariaceae.
AAGCGGCAACAGCUCAAAUUUGAAAUCUGGCUCUUUAGGGCCCGAGUUGUAAUUUGUAGAGGAUGCUUUUGGCGCGGUGCCUUCCGAGUUCCCUGGAACGGGACGCCUUAGAGGGUGAGAGCCCCGUACGGUUGGACACCAAGCCUCUGUAAAGCUCCUUCGACGAGUCGAGUAGUUUGGGAAUGCUGCUCUAAAUGGGAGGUAAAUUUCUUCUAAAGCUAAAUAUUGGCCAGAGACCGAUAGCGCACAAGUAGAGUGAUCGAAAGAUGAAAAGCACUUUGAAAAGAGGGUUAAAUAGCACGUGAAAUUGUUGAAAGGGAAGCGUUUGCGACCAGACCUUUUCCUAGCGGAUCAUCCGGUGUUCUUCGCCGGUGCACUUCGCUAGGUCGAGGCCAGCAUCGGUUUCUGCAGGGGGAUAAAAGCCCAGGGAACGUAGCUCUUUCGGGAGUGUUAUAGCCCUCCGC